GGCUGUGGUUGGUUUCUAAUGCACUGCCUUUACAGUUCUGGGACCUGCUUUUAAAACACUCCCAUCACAGGAUAAAACUUGUCUUGGAGGACUACAAGGAGAUCUUUGAGGCUUUGCCAUUCCCAGACAAGCAGAGAAUUACCGAUAUCUUUGAUACCAUCCCCAUGACUGUCGCUGGUGUGGUGGGUUACCUGGAGUCAUCUUCUCCAUAUCAAACCUUUAUGAAGAGUGACCCUGAAGCCGCGAAAUCCCUUCUCCAAGAGGCAGAAAAGAGGAUGCUGGAGGUGAUGGGAGUUUCUUCUCGUGAGACCCCAGUGGAGCUCUGGGUGAGGCACGUCUGUGUGCUGGGAUGCAAGGCACAGUGAGAGGAAGCCUGUCCCCUGAGCUGUGCUGCAAGGAAGGAAGGCAACAGUGGGUUAUCUCCUAAUAGCCCACUUGGUGCCACUCUUAUUCCUUGGGAAGAUUAAUCUGGGGGCUUAAGGUUUGGAUGUGUGGGAAGCAGACAAGGGCUUAUGGCAGCUCUUGGGCUCCUGUCCAGCUUGGUCCUGCAGUCUCCCAGGGCUGCAUGGGCAGGGUCCUGUUCCAGACUGGUGCUUGGGCUGCACGUGCGGAUGAGAAUCACUGGUACAGCUGAGAAACUUC
Melopsittacus undulatus (budgerigar) is the source of this 642-nucleotide long non-coding RNA. RefSeq lists it as uncharacterized. The transcript has 3 exons. The record is from RefSeq and is a predicted model, not a curated record. Lineage: Eukaryota; Metazoa; Chordata; Aves; Psittaciformes; Psittaculidae.